Molecule: transfer RNA, 72 nt
Filed under: Camelus bactrianus (Bactrian camel)
Lineage: Eukaryota; Metazoa; Chordata; Mammalia; Artiodactyla; Camelidae
Also listed under: 2 other names
Rfam family: tRNA
About the family: Transfer RNA (tRNA) molecules are approximately 80 nucleotides in length. Their secondary structure includes four short double-helical elements and three loops (D, anti-codon, and T loops).
Source: Rfam by way of RNAcentral
GUGGGUGUAGCUCAGUGGUAGGGUGCUUGCUUAGCAUGCACAAGGUCCUGGGUUCAAUCCCCAGUGCCUCCA